CCUACGGGAGGCAGCAGUGGGGAAUAUUGGACAAUGGGGGGAACCCUGAUCCAGCCAUGCCGCGUGUGUGAAGAAGGCCCUCGGGUUGUAAAGCACUUUCAGUGAGGAAGAACGCCUGGUGGUGAAUACCCAUCAGGAAAGACAUCACUCACAGAAGAAGCACCGGCUAACAUCCGUGCCAGCAGCCGCGGUAAUACGGAGGGUGCGAGCGUUAAUCGGAAUUACUGGGCGUAAAGCGCGCGUAGGUGGCUUGAUAAGCCGGUUGUGAAAGCCCCGGGCUCAACCUGGGAACGGCAUCCGGAACUGUCAAGCUAGAGUGCAGGAGAGGAAGGUAGAAUUCCCGGUGUAGCGGUGAAAUGCGUAGAGAUCGGGAGGAAUACCAGUGGCGAAGGCGGCCUUCUGGACUGACACUGACACUGAGGUGCGAAAGCGUGGGUAGCAAACAGGAUUAGAUACCCGUGUAGUC
Molecule: ribosomal RNA, 466 nt
Filed under: Vreelandella stevensii
Lineage: Bacteria; Pseudomonadati; Pseudomonadota; Gammaproteobacteria; Oceanospirillales; Halomonadaceae
Description: partial 16S ribosomal RNA
Rfam family: Bacterial small subunit ribosomal RNA
Source: RNAcentral